GAUUCACUGUGGCACGGUGGUAGUGCGACUGGCUGCGACGCAGAGAGUUCUGGGUUCGAUUCCCGGUGGGUCA
This is a non-coding RNA of Phthorimaea operculella (potato tuberworm), 73 nucleotides long. Lineage: Eukaryota; Metazoa; Arthropoda; Insecta; Lepidoptera; Gelechiidae. The record is from the annotation of a GenBank genome assembly.